This 497-nucleotide ribosomal RNA is filed under the name uncultured bacterium. RNAcentral describes it as "partial 16S ribosomal RNA". It matches the Rfam family "Bacterial small subunit ribosomal RNA", at positions 28 to 507 of the family's 1533-position model. The record is from RNAcentral.
GAUGAACGCUGGCGGCGUGCCUAAUACAUGCAAGUCGAGCGAACGGACGAGAAGCUUGCUUCUCUGAUGUUAGCGGCGGACGGGUGAGUAACACGUGGUUAACCUACCUAUAAGACUGGGAUAACUUCGGGAAACCGGAGCUAAUACCGGAUAAUAUUUUGAACCGCAUGGUUCAAAAGUGAAAGACGGUCUUGCUGUCACUUAUAGAUGGAUCCGCGCUGCAUUAGCUAGUUGGUAAGGUAACGGCUUACCAAGGCAACGAUGCAUAGCCGACCUGAGAGGGUGAUCGGCCACACUGGAACUGAGACACGGUCCAGACUCCUACGGGAGGCAGCAGUAGGGAAUCUUCCGCAAAGGGCGAAAGCCUGACGGAGCAACGCCGCGUGAGUGAUGAAGGUCUUCGGAUCGUAAAACUCUGUUAUUAGGGAAGAACAUAUGUGUAAGUAACUGUGCACAUCUUGACGGUACCUAAUCAGAAAGCCACGGCUAACUACGUG